CAGCAGCCGCGGUAUUACAGAGGGUGCGAGCGUUAAUCGGAUUUACUGGGCGUAAAGCGUGCGUAGGCGGCUUCUUAAGUCGGAUGUGAAAUCCCUGAGCUUAACUUAGGAAUUGCAUUCGAUACUGGGAAGCUAGAGUAUGGGAGAGGAUGGUAGAAUUCCAGGUGUAGCGGUGAAAUGCGUAGAGAUCUGGAGGAAUACCGAUGGCGAAGGCAGCCAUCUGGCCUAAUACUGACGCUGAGGUACGAAAGCAUGGGGAGCAAACAGGAUUAGAUACCCGCGUAGUCCCUGUCUCUUAUAC
This 301-nucleotide ribosomal RNA is filed under the name uncultured bacterium. Its description in RNAcentral is "partial 16S ribosomal RNA". It matches the Rfam family "Bacterial small subunit ribosomal RNA", at positions 509 to 807 of the family's 1533-position model. The record is from RNAcentral.